Long non-coding RNA from Mustela lutreola (European mink), 536 nucleotides. RefSeq lists it as uncharacterized. The record is from RefSeq and is a predicted model, not a curated record. The transcript is spliced from 3 exons. NCBI's taxonomy places the organism in Eukaryota, Metazoa, Chordata, Mammalia, Carnivora, Mustelidae.
UCUUGGCUUCCAGCCGCUGGGCUUCCUGCCUUGGGAACGCGGGCACGUGGCCCCCAUGGCCGAACCCAGGCCCACAAGGGCCAAGCUGCCCCACAGGCGAGAGCUGUCAGCACAGAACCUUACUCACCUGUGAGUCACAAUCCCUCCCGGUUCUCAAAACACAUCAUCAGCCUGAUUUCCCUCUCCCGGACCCAGGAACCAAAGCGCACUUCCCCACCCCGUGACAGCCCGAGGUCCGCGGCCUGUCCCCAGCACAAAGGGCCGGGAGGUCCUUCUGGACUGAACAGCACCAGCGCUCAGCACAGACAGGCCGGGCCGCAGGGAGCUGCUGAGCUCGCGUGGAUCCAGCCCCAGGCUAAGCGACCCCGGUGGCGCUGCUUCCAGGAGCACUAACCCCAUUGCAAAAGAUGGCCUGCGGGGUGGCCGCGGGCAGGGGCUCGAGAGAACAUGAGCUUCUGCCGUUUUGGUGCAAAAAGUAAGACCUCAGUAGCAGCGUUUCUAAAAUGUUGUCAGCCACACCAGGCUCUCUCCCCGGC